UUCAAAUCGCGGGACGGCGAUGCAAGUCCGGCACGAUGACCCGGCCAACCUUCAAGUCCGGCACCACGGCGACGGACGACGGACCGUUCAUAACUUGACUUGCAAAUCCUUGUUUGGUAACCAUUAAUACCAAACCUAGCCGGAAUCUGGUUGCCGGGGGAUCACGCCAUCACGGGACCUUCCUGUGGUUUCGUUGUGUAGCACCACCCGUUCAGAUCCACCGCUUACGUCGGAGAUACCACAUUUUUUUUGCUUUUAUGAAAGAUUUUGAAAUGCUUGCAGUUUUUAGUCUGUUGAAGAAAUUGAUGGGAAAAGCUUCAUCUUUCUUUGUUAAAGGAGUUUUUUAAAUGGGUUUGAUCUGAAACUUAAGGACUUUGAAACCGCAGUUGCGGAUGGAAAAGAAAACAAUAUGAUCUAGAACCGAUUUGAUUAAGUACGACAAUUUGUCGGAGAAAAUAAAGAUUUGUGGGUGUGGAGGAUGCGUAUUUGUAGUAUGACGGUAGACGGUUGUUGGCGGUUAUGAUAAAGGAACGCGACCCGCCUAUUUUUACGUAAAGUGUGUAUUGAAAAGGGCCAAAGACCAAUACAAAAGUGCCACAUGGACGAAACGUUAAAAUCAAACGGGUGCCUCUAGUAAAACGUUACGGUGGUGUGUUAAAGCAAUUGAAGUUUCCUUUAAAUUCCAACCGGUGUGAGUUGCUUUGGUAGAUCAUGGAGAGGGACAUGAUGUUUAAACAUACCUUAAGUUGGUUUUUGUAUAUAUAGAUAAUAUGAUAUAUGGCUAGAUCAAAUACAAA
Molecule: long non-coding RNA, 797 nt
Filed under: Helianthus annuus (common sunflower)
Lineage: Eukaryota; Viridiplantae; Streptophyta; Magnoliopsida; Asterales; Asteraceae
Description: sRNA HanXRQr2_Chr12g0529671
Source: RNAcentral